RNAcentral lists this long non-coding RNA (530 nucleotides) under Sorghum bicolor (sorghum). Its description in RNAcentral is "long non-coding RNA (SBIC_LNC005618)". The record is from RNAcentral. Lineage: Eukaryota; Viridiplantae; Streptophyta; Magnoliopsida; Poales; Poaceae.
CAGAUCUACCACCAUAGUACACACCAAGGGAAAUGCGGAAAUCAUCAUUCCAACUCCACUCCGUGCAGUACAAAAGGCAACGGAACGGCAAGCCCGUCGCACAUCCUAUCAAGCUUUUCUGACCAGUUCUAACAAACACCAAAACGCAUCACGCAUACUCGUCUUGCUUGCAGAUCUUUGCCGCUAUAAAACAGAUCCUGCAGCACACGCGAACAUUACACUUGAAAACAUUGAAAGAAGAAUAUGGAUCUCCUUCAGUGACCAUCACGAACACCUAAAUAAAUCGGUAAGUCGCUGCUAAUAUGCCCCCGUGGAACCGCUGUUGUUUUUCCACCUUGUCCAGAGCAGGACUUCCAGCGUGAUGAUGGUGAUCAGAAGGAUGGCCAGGUUGAAACCGUAGCCGAUCUUCCAAGAGUUGCCUGCGCCGCCGACCUUGAUCCCGAGCACAAUGUUGAUGGCUGCAAAGAAGAGGGCGAGCCUGCCGACCCAGUGGUGGUACCAGUUCCAGAACUUGCGGUACUUGGAGUCCU